RNAcentral lists this long non-coding RNA (1628 nucleotides) under Marmota monax (woodchuck). Lineage: Eukaryota; Metazoa; Chordata; Mammalia; Rodentia; Sciuridae. The record is from RNAcentral.
CUUAUGGCCAAAAGGUGGAACAAAAUCCUCAGUUCUGAAGCAUCCAGGAGGGUGAAAAUGCUUCUCUGACCUGUCACUAUACAAAUUAUUCUCCAGAGUCCAUCCAAUGGUACCGACAAGAUCCAGGAGGAGGCCUCUUCUUAUUGAUACUAGUGCAUGAAAAUGAGGGAGAAAAACAGAAAGGAAGACUGAGAGUCACCUUUGUUACCACCACCAAACAGAGUGCCUUGCAUAUCACAGCCUCCCAGCCUGCAGACUCAGCCACCUACCUCUGUGCCCUGGCUCACAGCAGCAUCCUGGCAACAGCUUCCUGUACAUAAACUUGUAAAUUCUUCCAGUCACAGAGCUGAUGUCUUUGGGGACUGUGCUGUCCCCAAAGACUUGCCACAGCUCCUGCAAAAUAAAAGGGAAGGGAGCUCACUUUAAAGUGACAAAGUGUGGGGGAAUGAUUCUGGAUUACCCAGGAGCAGGGGAUCCUUCAUCAGUCUCAGAACUAUGAUGCUGACUGCAUGACUGUGAAAAACUUGUGAGGUUUGCAGGUCUCAAUUUCCUCAUAUGAAAACAAUGGACUUAAAUAUGUGAUUCUCAAGUAGCUCUGAGGUUCAGAAUCUAAUAUUUCUAAAACAAGCAACACCCUGAAGAAUGCCAGAGAGUGGGGAUGAAGGAUAUGUUUUUUAACCCAGUGAGAUAUUUUUGUUGGUGAGUUAUAAUUAUACACCAUAGUGGGAUUCAUUAUGUCAUAUUCAGGUAUGCAUAUAACGUAAUUUGAUCAAACUCUUUUCCCAGUACCUCCCCUUUCCCUCUCCUUCUCCUUCCCCUAAUCCACUAGUUCAACUCUACUGAUUUGCUUUCUAUUAUUAUUAUUUUAAUUAGUGCAUUAUUUAUUCACUAUUCCUUGUGGUCAAUGUGUCAGAUUCAUUGUGGUAUAGUCAUCCAUAGACAGCAUAAUUUGUUAGAUUUUAUUCCCUAGUAUUUCCCCUGACCUCACCUCUUAUCCCCUUCAUCUUUUCCUUUGGUAUUCUUUCUGUUUUCAUGAGAAUCCCCUUUUAAAUUCUGUUUCCCCCCUUUCUCUCUAGCUUCACAUUUGAGAGAAAACUUUGACUCUUGUUUUUCUGAAUCUGGUUUAUUUCACUUAGCAUAACGUUCUCCAGGUCCAUUUAUCCACAAAAGACAGAAUUUCAUUAUUUGUUAUGGCUGAGUAAAACUUCAUUGUGUAUAUAUACCACAGUUUCUUUAUCCAAUCAUCCAUUGACAGGCACCUAAGUUGAUUCAUAACUUAGCUAUUGUGAAUUGUGUUGCUAUAAACAUUGGUAUGCAUAAAUUAUUAUAGUGUAUUGCUUUAAGAUCUUCUGGAUAAAUACCAAGUAGUGAGAGAGGUGGCUCAUGUGGUGGUUGCAUUCAUAAACUUUGGGGGAAUGUCCACAAUUAUUUCUAAAUGGUUGUACUAAUUUGCAUUUUUAUUAACAGUGUAUAAGUGUACGGUUCCCCCCACACUCUUGUGAGCAAUUAAUGUUCUUUGUAUUCUUGAUGGUUACCAUUCUAACUGGAGUUAGAUGAAAUCUGUGUUGUUUUGAUUUGUAUUUCCCUGAUUGCUAGGGAUAUUGUCAGUCAUUUUUAUUUCUUCUUUU